RNAcentral lists this long non-coding RNA (205 nucleotides) under Homo sapiens (human). RNAcentral's name for it is "long non-coding RNA NONHSAT172554". Lineage: Eukaryota; Metazoa; Chordata; Mammalia; Primates; Hominidae. The record is from RNAcentral.
ACAAGGGACCCCAGGACCCACAGGCACUGGCGCUGGACACCCAGAUCCCUGCAACCCCUGGACCCAAACCCCUGGUCCGCACCAGCCGGGAGCCAGGGAAGGACGUCACGACCUCAGGGUACUCCUCCGUCAGCACCGCAAGUCCCACAAGCUCCGUGGACGGUGGCUUGGGGGCCCUGCCCCAACCUACCUCAGUGCUGUCCCU